This 301-nucleotide ribosomal RNA is filed under the name uncultured bacterium. RNAcentral describes it as "partial 16S ribosomal RNA". It matches the Rfam family "Bacterial small subunit ribosomal RNA", at positions 509 to 807 of the family's 1533-position model. The record is from RNAcentral.
CAGUAGCCACGGUAAUACAGAGGGUGCGAGCGUUAAUCGGAUUUACUGGGCGUAAAGCGUGCGUAGGCGGCUUCUUAAGUCGGAUGUGAAAUCCCUGAGCUUAACUUAGGAAUUGCAUUCGAUACUGGGAAGCUAGAGUAUGGGAGAGGAUGGUAGAAUUCCAGGUGUAGCGGUGUAAUGCGUAGAGAUCUGGAGGAAUACCGAUGGCGAAGGCAGCCAUCUGGCCUAAUACUGACGCUGAGGUACGAAAGCAUGGGGAGCAAACAGGAUUAGAUACCCGAGUAGUCCCUGUCUCUUAUAC